RNAcentral lists this ribosomal RNA (439 nucleotides) under uncultured bacterium. Its description in RNAcentral is "partial 16S ribosomal RNA". It matches the Rfam family "Bacterial small subunit ribosomal RNA", at positions 338 to 795 of the family's 1533-position model. The record is from RNAcentral.
CCUACGGGUGGCAGCAGUGGGGAAUAUUGCACAAUGGGCGGAAGCCUGAUGCAGCGACGCCGCGUGGGUGAAGAAGCGCCUCGGCGCGUAAAGCCCUGUCAUCAGGGAAGAUAAUGACGGUACCUGAAGAAGAAGCCCCGGCUAACUACGUGCCAGCAGCCGCGGUAAUACGUAGGGGGCAAGCGUUAUCCGGAUUUACUGGGCGUAAAGGGGGCGCAGGCGGGUUUUAAAGUCGGAGGUGAAAGGCGGGGGCUCAACCGGAGAAUGCCUUUGGAACUGGGCGGCUGGAGUGCAGGAGGGGCAGGUGGAAUUCCUGGUGUAGCGGUGAAAUGCGUAGAUAUCAGGAGGAACACCGGUGGCGAAGGCGGCCUGCUGGACUGCAACUGACGUUGAGGCCCGAAAGCGUGGGGAGCAAACAGGAUUAGAUACCCGGGUAGUC